CAGUAGCGUAUAUUAACGCUGUUGCCGUUGAAAAGCUCGUAGUUGGAUGUGGGGGUGUUGAGGUGUGUGUGUGGGGCUGUAGCCAGAGGCUGCGUGAGCAGGCGAUGGCUUCGCCCCCAAACACCCGCCCCAAUCCGAGGUAGCGAGGCUUAACAGCCCCGCUCACCUCACGUUACUGUGAACAAAUCAGUGUGUUCAAAGCAGGCGUUGUCCGCCUCUGCACGCAUUAGCAUGGAAUAACGAGAUAGGGCUUGGGUGACCUGUGUUCGUGUUGGUUUGUGUGGGUCGACUGAAGCAAUGAUUGACAGGGACAGUUGGGGGUGCUAGUAUUCAGCGGCCAGAGGUGAAAUUCUUGGAUUCGCUGAAGACUCACUAGUGCGAAAGCAUUCGCCAAGGAUGUGCCUUUUGA
This 409-nucleotide ribosomal RNA is filed under the name uncultured eukaryote. RNAcentral describes it as "partial 18S ribosomal RNA". It matches the Rfam family "Eukaryotic small subunit ribosomal RNA", at positions 592 to 976 of the family's 1831-position model. The record is from RNAcentral.